AUUGGAAAUUUCAGCAGGAUCAUCG
RNAcentral lists this small nuclear RNA (25 nucleotides) under Arabidopsis thaliana (thale cress). RNAcentral's name for it is "snRNA_12000". The record is from RNAcentral. Lineage: Eukaryota; Viridiplantae; Streptophyta; Magnoliopsida; Brassicales; Brassicaceae.